This is a long non-coding RNA of Saccostrea cuccullata (small rock oyster), 575 nucleotides long. RefSeq lists it as uncharacterized. The record is from RefSeq and is a predicted model, not a curated record. Lineage: Eukaryota; Metazoa; Mollusca; Bivalvia; Ostreida; Ostreidae. The transcript is spliced from 4 exons.
UAAGUAAACAAGUUUCAUCUCGGCGGUAAACAAGGGGACUGUGCAGAUUCGUAAGAGAUAUCGAUAGAGUCUUUUGUAGAAAUGUCUGACCAAGGAGAGAUCAAAUGCUGUGAAAAAGAGAAACCUGCGGGUGGAUCCUGUAGGUGCGGGCCUGGUUGUAAUUGUACAGAACCGGGCGGAAUCUGUAAAUGUGGCAACUGUAAGCGUCCCACCAAAGCCUGCUGUGCUGGUACAAAGGAUUGUUGUCAGAACACUGAGACUGGCAAAUGUGAAAAAGCCGACUGCAGUAGCUGCAAAAAGUGACGUCAUGGGGGAGUUAAGAAGUAGGAAGGUCAAGACUUUUUUCUGCAAAAAAAAAAGUUAAAAAAAAAAAUAAUAAAAAUAACCUAUGGGUGCCAAUUCAACGGAUGAUCGCGACAUUGGUUUUUGUGUGUAUAUUUUCUAAAAAAAAAUAUUAGUAUAAAAGUCAAUAUUAAUAUUGUUAUUAAUUCUGUGAUCUAUCAAACAAUAUACCUCCUUUUUGUCAAGUUGAACGUGUUCGAUAUGAUUUUCUUGAAUAAAUUUCUUAAAACCUU